GACGGAGGGUGCUAGCGUUGUUCGGAUUUACUGGGCGUAAAGGGCGCGUAGGCGGCCUUCUCAGUCGGGUGUGAAAGGCCCGGGGCUCAACCCCGGAACGGCACCCGAGACGGGAAGGCUGGAGACCGGGAGAGGAGGGUGGAAUAGCCAGUGUAGAGGUGAAAUUCGUAGAUAUUGGCUGGAACACCGGUGGCGAAAGCGGCUCUCUGGCCCGGUUCUGACGCUGAGGCGCGAAAGCGUGGGGAGCAAACAGGG
Molecule: ribosomal RNA, 255 nt
Filed under: uncultured bacterium
Lineage: Bacteria
Description: partial 16S ribosomal RNA
Rfam family: Bacterial small subunit ribosomal RNA
Source: RNAcentral